CCGGGCAGCGACAAUAUCYCGUGCAAGCCUCUUCAUUUAACGGAACAAGUGCUCUUGCCUUGGCCAAAUCGGAUUUCCUGUGUUGCAUACCUGUUGUGAAGGCAUCCAUUCGGAUAAAAAUGUCCCUUUUCCACCUAGUGUCAAUUCAUUCGUGAAAUGUUGCGAGGUGGAACUCUAACGGUGAUGGGCGUGUUUCCUUUUUYCCACACUAUUGUGUUGGGUUCUUGGCCCAUGCACAUCACACGAUCUCUCGGGUUCGGAAGACAAUGUCGGUAUAUGGCACACGUGCCAUUAUUAGUCCCGUAAGAGCGUUCUACGCUUUAAGCGAACGACCGUUGGAGCCGUUGUCGGUCGAGUCCACCCGUGACUUGCUUGAUGCGGUUUCGACGUCGAUGAGGAAUGC
This 403-nucleotide unclassified non-coding RNA is filed under the name Collinsia linearis. Its description in RNAcentral is "partial external transcribed spacer". Lineage: Eukaryota; Viridiplantae; Streptophyta; Magnoliopsida; Lamiales; Plantaginaceae. The record is from RNAcentral.